GGUUAAGCGAAUAAGCGUACACGGUGGAUGCCUAGGCAAUCAGAGGCGAUGAAGGACGUGCUAAUCUGCGAAAAGCGUCGGUAAGGUGAUAUGAACCGUUAUACCCGACGAUAUCCGAAUGGGGAAACCCAGUAUCCAAUGGAUACUAUCAUUAACUGAAUCCAUAGGUUAAUGAGGCGAACCGGGAGAACUGAAACAUCUCAGUACCCCGAGGAAAAGAAAUCAACCGAGAUUCCCCUAGUAGCGGCGAGCGAACGGGGAGCAGCCCAGAGUCUUAAUCAAUAACAGU
This 289-nucleotide ribosomal RNA is filed under the name Proteus mirabilis. RNAcentral's name for it is "partial 23S ribosomal RNA". It matches the Rfam family "Bacterial large subunit ribosomal RNA", at positions 1 to 290 of the family's 2925-position model. The record is from RNAcentral. Lineage: Bacteria; Pseudomonadati; Pseudomonadota; Gammaproteobacteria; Enterobacterales; Morganellaceae.